Molecule: ribosomal RNA, 307 nt
Filed under: uncultured eukaryote
Lineage: Eukaryota
Description: partial 18S ribosomal RNA
Rfam family: Eukaryotic small subunit ribosomal RNA
Source: RNAcentral
CCCUUAGACGUUCUGGGCCGCACGCGCGCUACACUGACGAAGGCAACGAGCUUUCCUUUACCGAAAGGUACGGGUAAUCUUUUGAAACUUCGUCGUGCUGGGGAUAGAUCCUUGCAAUUAUUGAUCUUAAACGAGGAAUUCCUAGUAAGCGCAAGUCAUCAACUUGCGUUGAUACGUCCCUGCCCUUUGUACACACCGCCCGUCGCUACUACCGAUUGAAUGGUUUAGUGAGGCCUUCGGAUCCGCGACUCGUUUUGUGGAGAAGUUGGACAAACUCAGUCAUUUAGAGGAAGUAAAAGUCGUAACA